RNAcentral lists this ribosomal RNA (422 nucleotides) under uncultured bacterium. Its description in RNAcentral is "partial 16S ribosomal RNA". It matches the Rfam family "Bacterial small subunit ribosomal RNA", at positions 360 to 774 of the family's 1533-position model. The record is from RNAcentral.
AAUAUUGGACAAUGGGCGAAAGCCUGAUCCAGCCAUGCCGCGUGUGUGAAGAAGGNCUNNGGAUUNUNAAGCACUUUAAGUGGNNNNNAAGGGCAGUAAGGUAAUACGUUGCUGUUUUGACGUUAACGACAGAAUAAGCACCGGCUAACUUCGUGACCGCAGCCGCGUUAAUACGAAGGGUGCAAGCGUGAAUCGGAAUUACUGGGCGUAAAGCGGGCGGAGGUGGUUUGUUAAAUUUGAAGUUAAAGCCCCGGGCUCAACCUGGGAACUGCUUUCAAAACUGGCAAGCUAGAGUAUGGAAGAGGGUGGUGGAAUUUCCUGUGUAGCGGUGAAAUGCGUAGAUAUAGGAAGGAACCCCAGCGGCGAAGGCGACCACCUGGGCUAAUACUGACACUGAGGUGCGAAAGCGUGGGGAGCAAACA